Molecule: ribosomal RNA, 500 nt
Filed under: uncultured bacterium
Lineage: Bacteria
Description: bacterial SSU rRNA
Rfam family: Bacterial small subunit ribosomal RNA
Source: RNAcentral
GAUGAACGCUAGCGGCAGGCUUAAUACAUGCAAGUCGAACGGGAUCCGAGGUAGCAAUACUUUGGUGAGAGUGGCGCACGGGUGCGUAACGCGUAUGCAACCUACCUUUAACAGGGGAAUAGCCCCGAGAAAUCGGGAUUAAUACUCCGUAACAUUGCGGGAUGGCAUCAUUCUGCAAUUAAAGAUUUAUCGGUUAAAGAUGGGCAUGCGUGACAUUAGCUUGUUGGUGAGGUAACGGCUCACCAAGGCAACGAUGUCUAGGGGUCCUGAGAGGGUUAUCCCCCACACUGGUACUGAGACACGGACCAGACUCCUACGGGAGGCAGCAGUAAGGAUAUUGGUCAAUGGGCGCAAGCCUGAACCAGCCAUGCCGCGUGCAGGAAGACGGCCCUAUGGGUUGUAAACUGCUUUUAUACGGGAAGAAAAAAUACUACGUGUAGUACAUUGACGGUACCGUAAGAAUAAGGAUCGGCUAACUCCGUGCCAGCAGCCGCGGUAAU